GUGAGUACUUGAUCUAGAAUCUAAUACCCAACUAGAAGUAGAGGAAAUCGUAAGAUUAGAUUUAAUAAUGAGCAAAUUAAACAUACCUUUCGAAGGUGCAUCCACCUUUUGUUUCUUCAAGCUCUACAGGUAUAGCGGACAGUUCCUCUUUCAAUAGCCAUCAUUAUUGCAAUGGAAAUAUUUUUCCUUCUAGCAGCAGCCUUCUUAAGAGUGUCCUUCUUCUUCAGCUUGCUUUCCUUUUUCUUUUUCUACUUUUUUGCAGGCUUUUUCUUCUUCCAACUAGACUUUCUCUUAGAAGAAGAACCCUGCUCCACA
RNAcentral lists this long non-coding RNA (315 nucleotides) under Elaeis guineensis (African oil palm). Its description in RNAcentral is "long non-coding RNA (EGUI_LNC061998)". The record is from RNAcentral. Lineage: Eukaryota; Viridiplantae; Streptophyta; Magnoliopsida; Arecales; Arecaceae.